CGGUAAUACAGAGGGUGCGAGCGUUAAUCGGAAUUACUGGGCGUAAAGCGCACGUAGGCGGCUUGGCAUGUCGGGUGUGAAAUCCCCGGGCUCAACCUGGGAACUGCAUCCGAAACUGCCUUGCUAGAGUAUGGGAGAGGGAAGUGGAAUUUCCGGUGUAGCGGUGAAAUGCGUAGAUAUCGGAAGGAACAUCAGUGGCGAAGGCGACUUCCUGGACCAAUACUGACGCUCAGGUGCGAAAGCGUGGGGAGCAAACAGGAUUAGAUACCCUGGUAGUCCACGCCCUAAACGAUGACAACUGGAUGUCGGGAGGGUAUGCCUUCCGGUGUCGUAGCUAACGCGUUAAGUUGUCCGCCUGGGAAGUACGGCCGCAAGGUUGAA
Molecule: ribosomal RNA, 381 nt
Filed under: uncultured bacterium
Lineage: Bacteria
Description: bacterial SSU rRNA
Rfam family: Bacterial small subunit ribosomal RNA
Source: RNAcentral